ACCCGCUGAACUUAAGCAUAUCAAUAAGCGGAGGAAAAGAAACCAACAGGGAUUGCCUCAGUAACGGCGAGUGAAGCGGCAAAAGCUCAAAUUUGAAAUCUGACAGCAAUGUCCGAGUUGUAAUUUGUAGAGGAUAAUUCGGUGUUGACUUUGGUCCAAGUCUUCUGGAACGGAGCACUUUGAAGGGUGAGAGUCCCGUACGAUCAAUUGUUAUUACCAUGUGAAUUUCCUUCGAAGAGUCGAGUUGUUUGGGAAUGCAGCUCAAAUUUGGUGGUAAAUUCCAUCUAAAGCUAAAUAUUGGCCAGAGACCGAUAGCGCACAAGUAGAGUGAUCGAAAGAUGAAAAGCACUUUGGAAAGAGAGUGAAACAGUACGUGAAAUUGUUGAAAGGGAAGCGCUUACAAUCAGACUUGUAUUCAGUUGUUCCGUCGGUUUUUAACUGGUUUACUCAAUUGUUUUCAGGCCAACAUCAGUUUCAGCGGUUGGAUAAAGGUAUUGGGAAUGUGAUUCUUCGGAAUGUUAUAGCCCUUUACAUAAUACAGCCAGUUGGGACUGAGGUCAGCGUUCGCUAGGAUGUUGGCGUAAUGGUUGUCAGCGGCCCGUCUUGAAACACGG
This 614-nucleotide ribosomal RNA is filed under the name uncultured fungus. RNAcentral's name for it is "eukaryotic LSU rRNA". It matches the Rfam family "Eukaryotic large subunit ribosomal RNA", at positions 23 to 664 of the family's 3401-position model. The record is from RNAcentral. Lineage: Eukaryota; Fungi.